RNAcentral lists this ribosomal RNA (1520 nucleotides) under Klebsiella quasipneumoniae subsp. similipneumoniae. RNAcentral's name for it is "bacterial SSU rRNA". It matches the Rfam family "Bacterial small subunit ribosomal RNA". Lineage: Bacteria; Pseudomonadati; Pseudomonadota; Gammaproteobacteria; Enterobacterales; Enterobacteriaceae. RNAcentral also lists the same sequence under 3 other names. The record is from RNAcentral.
AGAGUUUGAUCAUGGCUCAGAUUGAACGCUGGCGGCAGGCCUAACACAUGCAAGUCGAGCGGUAGCACAGAGAGCUUGCUCUCGGGUGACGAGCGGCGGACGGGUGAGUAAUGUCUGGGAAACUGCCUGAUGGAGGGGGAUAACUACUGGAAACGGUAGCUAAUACCGCAUAACGUCGCAAGACCAAAGUGGGGGACCUUCGGGCCUCAUGCCAUCAGAUGUGCCCAGAUGGGAUUAGCUAGUAGGUGGGGUAACGGCUCACCUAGGCGACGAUCCCUAGCUGGUCUGAGAGGAUGACCAGCCACACUGGAACUGAGACACGGUCCAGACUCCUACGGGAGGCAGCAGUGGGGAAUAUUGCACAAUGGGCGCAAGCCUGAUGCAGCCAUGCCGCGUGUAUGAAGAAGGCCUUCGGGUUGUAAAGUACUUUCAGCGGGGAGGAAGGCGAUAAGGUUAAUAACCUUGUCGAUUGACGUUACCCGCAGAAGAAGCACCGGCUAACUCCGUGCCAGCAGCCGCGGUAAUACGGAGGGUGCAAGCGUUAAUCGGAAUUACUGGGCGUAAAGCGCACGCAGGCGGUCUGUCAAGUCGGAUGUGAAAUCCCCGGGCUCAACCUGGGAACUGCAUUCGAAACUGGCAGGCUAGAGUCUUGUAGAGGGGGGUAGAAUUCCAGGUGUAGCGGUGAAAUGCGUAGAGAUCUGGAGGAAUACCGGUGGCGAAGGCGGCCCCCUGGACAAAGACUGACGCUCAGGUGCGAAAGCGUGGGGAGCAAACAGGAUUAGAUACCCUGGUAGUCCACGCCGUAAACGAUGUCGAUUUGGAGGUUGUGCCCUUGAGGCGUGGCUUCCGGAGCUAACGCGUUAAAUCGACCGCCUGGGGAGUACGGCCGCAAGGUUAAAACUCAAAUGAAUUGACGGGGGCCCGCACAAGCGGUGGAGCAUGUGGUUUAAUUCGAUGCAACGCGAAGAACCUUACCUGGUCUUGACAUCCACAGAACUUAGCAGAGAUGCUUUGGUGCCUUCGGGAACUGUGAGACAGGUGCUGCAUGGCUGUCGUCAGCUCGUGUUGUGAAAUGUUGGGUUAAGUCCCGCAACGAGCGCAACCCUUAUCCUUUGUUGCCAGCGGUCCGGCCGGGAACUCAAAGGAGACUGCCAGUGAUAAACUGGAGGAAGGUGGGGAUGACGUCAAGUCAUCAUGGCCCUUACGACCAGGGCUACACACGUGCUACAAUGGCAUAUACAAAGAGAAGCGACCUCGCGAGAGCAAGCGGACCUCAUAAAGUAUGUCGUAGUCCGGAUUGGAGUCUGCAACUCGACUCCAUGAAGUCGGAAUCGCUAGUAAUCGUAGAUCAGAAUGCUACGGUGAAUACGUUCCCGGGCCUUGUACACACCGCCCGUCACACCAUGGGAGUGGGUUGCAAAAGAAGUAGGUAGCUUAACCUUCGGGAGGGCGCUUACCACUUUGUGAUUCAUGACUGGGGUGAAGUCGUAACAAGGUAACCGUAGGGGAACCUGCGGUUG